RNAcentral lists this transfer RNA (88 nucleotides) under Anaerolineae bacterium. Its description in RNAcentral is "tRNA-Leu". It matches the Rfam family "tRNA". From Rfam's summary of the family: Transfer RNA (tRNA) molecules are approximately 80 nucleotides in length. Their secondary structure includes four short double-helical elements and three loops (D, anti-codon, and T loops). RNAcentral also lists the same sequence under 1 other name. Lineage: Bacteria; Bacillati; Chloroflexota; Anaerolineae. The record is from RNAcentral.
GCCGAAGUGGCGGAAUAGGCAGACGCGCUGCGUUCAGGGCGCAGUUCCCAUUUCGGGAGUGUGGGUUCGACUCCCACCUUCGGCACCA